GGGCACUCUAAUGAGACUGCCGGUGACAACCGGAGGAAGGUGGGGAUGACGUCAAGUCCUCAUGGCCCUUAUAGGUGGGGCUACACACGUCAUACAAUGGAUGGUACAAAGGGUCGCCAACCCGCGAGGGGGAGCCAAUCCCAUAAAGCCAUUCGUAGUCCGGAUCGCAGUCUGCAACUCGACUGCGUGAAGUCGGAAUCGCUAGUAAUCGUGGAUCAGAAUGUCACGGUGAAUACGUUCCCGGGUCUU
RNAcentral lists this ribosomal RNA (249 nucleotides) under uncultured Acidovorax sp. RNAcentral describes it as "partial 16S ribosomal RNA". It matches the Rfam family "Bacterial small subunit ribosomal RNA", at positions 1133 to 1382 of the family's 1533-position model. The record is from RNAcentral. Lineage: Bacteria; Pseudomonadati; Pseudomonadota; Betaproteobacteria; Burkholderiales; Comamonadaceae.